UGCCAGCCGCCGCGGUAAUACGGAGGGGGUUAGCGUUGUUCGGAAUUACUGGGCGUAAAGCGCACGUAGGCGGAUCAGAAAGUAUGGGGUGAAAGCCCCGGGCUCAACCUGGGAACUGCACCUGAUACUGCCAGUCUAGAAUACGGUAGAGGGUAGUGGAAUUUCCUGUGUAGCGGUGAAAUGCGUAGAUAUAGGAAGGAACACCAGUGGCGAAGGCGACUACCUGGACCGAUAUUGACACUGAGGUGCGAAAGCGUGGGGAGCAAACAGGAUUAGAUA
This 279-nucleotide ribosomal RNA is filed under the name uncultured bacterium. RNAcentral describes it as "partial 16S ribosomal RNA". It matches the Rfam family "Bacterial small subunit ribosomal RNA", at positions 506 to 784 of the family's 1533-position model. The record is from RNAcentral.